CCUACGGGGUGCUGCAGUGGGGAAUAUUGCACAAUGGGCGAAAGCCUGAUCCAGCCAUGCCGCGUGUGUGAAGAAGGCCUUCGGGUUGUAAAGCACUUUCAGUGGGGAAGAAAGCCUUGGGGCUAAUACCCUCGAGGAAGGACAUCACCCACAGAAGAAGCACCGGCUAACAUCCGUGCCAGCAGCCGCGGUAAUACGGAGGGUGCGAGCGUUAAUCGGAAUUACUGGGCGUAAAGCGCGCGUAGGCGGUCUGAUAAGCCGGUUGUGAAAGCCCCGGGCUCAACCUGGGAACGGCAUCCGGAACUGUCAGGCUAGAGUGCAGGAGAGGAAGGUAGAAUUCCCGGUGUAGCGGUGAAAUGCGUAGAGAUCGGGAGGAAUACCAGUGGCGAAGGCGGCCUUCUGGACUGACACUGACGCUGAGGUGCGAAAGCGUGGGUAGCAAACAGGAUUAGAUACCCGAGUAGUC
RNAcentral lists this ribosomal RNA (466 nucleotides) under Vreelandella stevensii. RNAcentral's name for it is "partial 16S ribosomal RNA". It matches the Rfam family "Bacterial small subunit ribosomal RNA", at positions 338 to 795 of the family's 1533-position model. The record is from RNAcentral. Lineage: Bacteria; Pseudomonadati; Pseudomonadota; Gammaproteobacteria; Oceanospirillales; Halomonadaceae.